CAGUAGCCGCGGUAAGACAGAGGAUGCAAGCGUUAUCCGGAAUGAUUGGGCGUAAAGGGCUCGCAGGCGGUUUCUUAAGUCUGAUGUGAAAGCCCCCGGCUCAACCGGGGAGGGUCAUUGGAAACUGGGAAACUUGAGUGCAGAAGAGGAGAGUGGAAUUCCACGUGUAGCGGUGAAAUGCGUAGAGAUGUGGAGGAACACCAGUGGCGAAGGCGACUCUCUGGUCUGUAACUGACGCUGAGGAGCGAGAGCGUGGGGAGCGAACAGGAUUAGAUACCCCCGUAGUCCCUGUCUCUUAUAC
RNAcentral lists this ribosomal RNA (301 nucleotides) under uncultured bacterium. Its description in RNAcentral is "partial 16S ribosomal RNA". It matches the Rfam family "Bacterial small subunit ribosomal RNA", at positions 509 to 807 of the family's 1533-position model. The record is from RNAcentral.